Molecule: ribosomal RNA, 510 nt
Filed under: uncultured bacterium
Lineage: Bacteria
Description: partial 16S ribosomal RNA
Rfam family: Bacterial small subunit ribosomal RNA
Source: RNAcentral
GACGAACGCUGGCGGCGUGCUUAACACAUGCAAGUCGAACGAAGAGCGACGGAAGCUUGCUUCUAUCAAUCUUAGUGGCGAACGGGUGAGUAACGCGUAAUCAACCUGCCCUUCAGAGGGGGACAACAGUUGGAAACGACUGCUAAUACCGCAUACGAUCUAAUCUCGGCAUCGAGGAUGGAUGAAAGGUGGCCUCUACAUGUAAGCUAUCACUGAAGGAGGGGAUUGCGUCUGAUUAGCUAGUUGGAGGGGUAACGGCCCACCAAGGCGAUGAUCAGUAGCCGGUCUGAGAGGAUGAACGGCCACAUUGGGACUGAGACACGGCCCAGACUCCUACGGGAGGCAGCAGUGGGGAUUCUUCCGCAAUGGACGAAAGUCUGACGGAGCAACGCCGCGUGAGUGAUGACGGCCUUCGGGUUGUAAAGCUCUGUUAAUCGGGACGAAAGGCCUUCUUGCGAAUAGUGAGAAGGAUUGACGGUACCGGAAUAGAAAGCCACGGCUAACUACGUG